RNAcentral lists this ribosomal RNA (105 nucleotides) under uncultured bacterium. RNAcentral describes it as "partial 16S ribosomal RNA". It matches the Rfam family "Bacterial small subunit ribosomal RNA", at positions 1379 to 1482 of the family's 1533-position model. The record is from RNAcentral.
CCUUGUACACACCGCCCGUCAAGUCAUGGGAGUUGGGAGUACCCGAAGUCCGUUUAGCCAACUGCAAAGAGGCGACGGCCGACGGUAAGCCCGAUGACUGGGACU